Molecule: long non-coding RNA, 1197 nt
Organism: Carassius auratus (goldfish)
Lineage: Eukaryota; Metazoa; Chordata; Actinopteri; Cypriniformes; Cyprinidae
Exons: 8
Source: RefSeq, a predicted model, not a curated record
GUUUUUGUGUCCUUACGAUAUGAGCGCUAUCCUGAGAUUCCAACAUGGUCAGAGUCCAGUUAAUCCAGCCUGUAAUUCAAACAAGUGAUCAUCAUUUUCAACCCAACAUCUCCCAUAAUUGCUCUUCUUUCUUGAGCUAGUAAGCUUCACCCAGCCAAGUCAUUCUAAGCCAUCCAAAUCAUAAUGGAUGCUUCCAAACAUUAUAGGAAGCAUCCACAAAGACUGCCUGCAUCCAUCCAUUUGUCUCCUAAUAUCACAAUUAAGUCAAUAGAACAACACAAAAUUGGUUUGUGCAUCAAGUCUCACUAACUACGGUCAAAGAUUUCUGCAAUACGUUAAACUUCAAACUUCCGCCUUAUCCAUUAUGAGUCUCCGCUCCAUGAACUGUUUUUAUGAAGAGGCACACAACCAAUCAAAAGGUUUGUGCAUGAAAACCCAAUAUCUACGGUCCACUACUUCAAAAAGUUGAGUGUGCAACUAACAUGGACAUCUGUACAAUGUUUCAGUUGUGUAAACACUAUCAAUCAGUUAAUGUUCCAUGACUGUAUUUUCAGAUUUCUGCAAUGUUACACUUCAAACUUCCGCCUUAUCUAUUAUGAUUCUCCGCUCCAUGAACUGUUUUUAUGAAGAGGCACACAACCAAUCAAAAGGUUUGUGCAAUACGUUACACUUCAAACUUCCGCCUUAUCCAUUAUGAUUCUCCGCUCUAUGAACUGUUUUUAUGAAGAGGCACACAACCAAUCAAAAGGUAAAUUCAUAUAUCUGCAAUACUCGAAUUGACUCAUUUCUUAAAGCAGUCUUUCACCUGUUGAAACUUUUUCAGGUUUGUGCAUGAAAACCCAAUUUCUACUGUCCACUACUCCCAAAAGGUGAGUGUGCAGCGAACAUAGACAUAGUACAAUGUUUCAGUUGUGUAAACACUAUCAAUUAGUUAAUGUUCCAUGACUGUAUUUUCAGAUUUCUGCAAUGUUUCACUUCAAACUUCCGCCUUAUCCAUUAUGAUUCUCCGCUCCAUUAACUGUUUUUAUGAAGAGGCACACAACCAAUCAAAAGGUUUGUUCAAUACGUUACACUUCAAAAUUCCUCCUUAUCCAUUCUGAAUCUCCGCUCCAAGAAACCGUUUUUAUAUAGCUGCACAAAACCGAUAAAAGUUUUGUGCAAAACAAGUAAAUAACUACUGUCCACUACUCCCAAAAG